GGCACUGUAACGUUAGGUGCUGUCUCCGCUUUUUUUUCUUUCUUUUUUUUUUAAAACAAGCUAUUUGCUGAUUUGUAUUAGGUACCAUAGAGUGAGGCGAGGAUGAAGCCGAGAGGAUACUGCAGAGGUCUCUGGUGCAUGUGUGUGUGUGUGUGCGUGUGUUUGUGUACGUGUGUUCUGCCCCUAUGAGGCUGCAGCCCUUGUGAAGCACUUGGUCACCUUUUGCAAGAAGGAAUCUGAAUCGUUGCAACGGAAGGUGCGGACUCGUCGUGGGGAGAUGUUGCUCCUCACUGCAGAUGGAUAAUUUUCCUUUUUAUCAGGAAUCUCACAUGAAGAGUAAAGAGUAAUUAAAAUGUGCAGGAUGACAAGAUGGAGCAAACAGUGCUUGUACCACCAGGACCUGACAGCUUCAACUUCUUCACCAGAGAAUCCCUUGCAGCUAUUGAAAGGCGCAUUGCAGAAGAGAAGGCUAAGAAUCCCAAGCCAGACAAAAAAGAUGAUGAUGAAAAUGGCCCAAAGCCAAACAGUGACUUGGAAGCUGGGAAGAACCUUCCAUUUAUCUAUGGAGACAUUCCUCCAGAGAUGGUGUCGGAGCCUCUGGAGGACCUGGACCCCUACUAUAUCAAUAAGAAGACUUUUAUAGUAUUGAAUAAAGGGAAGGCCAUCUUCCGGUUCAGUGCCACCUCCGCCCUGUACAUUUUAACACCCUUCAAUCCUCUUAGGAAAAUAGCUAUUAAGAUUUUGGUACACUCAUUAUUCAGCAUGUUAAUCAUGUGCACUAUUUUGACAAACUGUGUAUUUAUGACAAUGAGUAACCCUCCCGACUGGACAAAGAAUGUGGAGUACACCUUCACAGGAAUAUAUACUUUUGAAUCACUAAUAAAAAUUAUUGCAAGGGGCUUCUGUUUAGAAGAUUUUACUUUCCUUCGCGACCCAUGGAACUGGCUGGACUUCACUGUCAUUACAUUCGCAUAUGUGACGGAGUUUGUGGACCUGGGCAAUGUCUCAGCAUUGAGAACAUUCAGAGUUCUUCGAGCAUUGAAAACUAUUUCAGUCAUUCCAGGCCUGAAGACCAUCGUGGGGGCCCUGAUCCAGUCGGUGAAGAAGCUGUCUGACGUCAUGAUACUCACUGUGUUCUGUCUCAGUGUGUUCGCACUCAUCGGGUUGCAGCUCUUCAUGGGCAACCUGAGGAAUAAAUGUGUACAGUGGCCUCCCACCAACGCUUCCCUUGAGGAACAUAGCAUAGAGAAGAAUAUAACUAUGGAUUACAAUGGCACACUUGUAAAUGAAACCGUGUUCGAGUUUGACUGGAAAUCAUACAUUCAAGACUCAAGAUAUCAUUAUUUCCUGGAGGGUGUUUUAGAUGCACUGCUGUGUGGAAAUAGCUCUGAUGCAGGCCAAUGUCCAGAAGGAUAUAUGUGUGUAAAAGCUGGUAGAAACCCUAAUUAUGGUUACACAAGCUUUGAUACCUUCAGUUGGGCAUUUUUGUCCCUGUUUCGACUGAUGACUCAGGACUUCUGGGAAAAUCUAUACCAACUGACAUUGCGUGCUGCUGGCAAAACCUACAUGAUAUUUUUUGUGCUGGUCAUUUUCUUGGGCUCAUUCUACCUGAUAAACUUGAUCCUGGCUGUGGUGGCCAUGGCCUAUGAGGAGCAGAAUCAGGCCACACUGGAGGAGGCUGAACAGAAAGAGGCAGAAUUUCAGCAGAUGUUGGAGCAACUUAAGAAGCAGCAAGAGGCUGCACAGCAGGCAGCGGCUACAACAGCCUCAGAACAUUCCAGGGAGCCCAGUGCAGCAGGCAGGCUCUCAGAUAGCUCUUCAGAAGCCUCUAAGUUGAGUUCGAAGAGUGCUAAAGAAAGACGAAAUCGGAGGAAAAAAAGGAAACAGAAAGAGCAGUCUGGAGGAGAAGAGAAAGAUGAUGAUGAAUUCCACAAGUCUGAGUCUGAAGACAGCAUCAGGAGGAAGGGGUUUCGCUUCUCCAUAGAAGGGAAUAGACUGACAUAUGAAAAGAGGUACUCUUCCCCGCAUCAGUCUCUGUUAAGCAUUCGUGGUUCCCUGUUCUCCCCAAGACGCAAUAGCAGAACAAGUCUUUUCAGCUUUAGAGGGCGAGCCAAGGAUGUGGGGUCUGAGAAUGACUUUGCUGAUGAUGAACACAGCACCUUUGAGGAUAAUGAGAGCCGUAGAGACUCACUGUUCGUUCCCCGAAGACACGGAGAGCGACGCAACAGUAACCUGAGCCAGACCAGCAGGUCCUCCCGAAUGCUGGCGGUGUUUCCAGCCAAUGGGAAGAUGCACAGCACGGUGGAUUGCAAUGGUGUGGUUUCCUUGGUUGGUGGACCCUCAGUUCCCACAUCGCCAGUUGGACAGCUUCUGCCAGAGGUGAUAAUAGAUAAGCCAGCUACUGAUGACAAUGGAACAACCACUGAAACUGAGAUGAGAAAGAGGAGGUCGAGCUCUUUCCAUGUUUCCAUGGACUUUCUAGAAGAUCCUUCCCAGAGGCAAAGGGCAAUGAGCAUAGCCAGCAUCUUAACAAAUACAGUAGAAGAACUAGAAGAAUCCAGGCAGAAAUGUCCACCCUGUUGGUAUAAAUUUUCCAACAUAUUCUUAAUUUGGGACUGUUCUCCAUAUUGGCUGAAAGUUAAACAUAUUGUCAACCUGGUGGUGAUGGACCCAUUUGUUGAUCUGGCCAUUACCAUCUGCAUUGUGUUAAAUACGCUCUUCAUGGCUAUGGAGCACUACCCCAUGACUGAACAUUUCAACCAUGUUCUUACAGUGGGAAACUUGGUCUUCACUGGGAUUUUCACAGCAGAAAUGUUCCUGAAAAUCAUCGCAAUGGAUCCUUACUAUUACUUCCAAGAAGGCUGGAAUAUCUUUGAUGGUUUCAUUGUGACACUCAGCCUGGUAGAACUUGGCCUUGCCAAUGUGGAAGGAUUGUCAGUUCUCCGUUCAUUUCGACUGCUCCGAGUGUUCAAGUUGGCAAAGUCUUGGCCCACACUGAAUAUGCUCAUUAAGAUCAUUGGUAACUCGGUGGGAGCACUGGGCAACCUGACUCUGGUGUUGGCCAUCAUUGUCUUUAUUUUUGCCGUGGUUGGCAUGCAGCUGUUUGGAAAAAGUUACAAAGAUUGUGUCUGCAAAAUUGCCACUGACUGCAAACUCCCACGUUGGCACAUGAACGACUUCUUCCACUCGUUCCUGAUCGUGUUCCGCGUGCUGUGUGGGGAGUGGAUAGAGACCAUGUGGGACUGCAUGGAGGUGGCAGGACAAGCUAUGUGCCUUACUGUCUUCAUGAUGGUCAUGGUGAUUGGGAACCUUGUGGUCUUGAACCUCUUUCUGGCCUUGCUUCUGAGCUCAUUUAGUGCAGACAACCUUGCAGCCACUGAUGAUGACAAUGAGAUGAACAACCUGCAGAUUGCUGUGGACAGGAUGCACAAAGGAAUAGCUUAUGUAAAAAGAAAAAUAUAUGAAUUCAUUCAACAAUCCUUUGUUAAGAAACAGAAGAUUCUAGAUGAAAUUAAGCCACUUGAUGAUCUAAACAACAGAAAAGACAAUUGUAUCUCUAACCACACAACAGAAAUUGGGAAAGAUCUGGACUGUCUGAAAGAUGUGAAUGGAACCACAAGUGGCAUAGGGACGGGCAGCAGUGUGGAGAAGUACAUCAUUGAUGAGAGUGAUUAUAUGUCAUUCAUAAACAACCCCAGCCUCACUGUGACUGUGCCCAUUGCUGUGGGAGAGUCUGACUUUGAGAACUUAAACACAGAAGACUUUAGCAGUGAAUCAGAUCUAGAAGAAAGCAAAGAGAAACUCAACGAAAGCAGUAGCUCCUCAGAGGGAAGCACAGUAGACAUUGGGGCGCCUGCAGAGGAACAGCCUGUCAUUGAACCAGAAGAAACCCUUGAGCCCGAAGCUUGCUUCACUGAAGGCUGUGUCCAGAGAUUCAAGUGCUGUCAAAUCAGCGUGGAAGAAGGAAGAGGGAAACAGUGGUGGAACCUACGGAGGACGUGCUUCCGAAUAGUUGAACACAACUGGUUUGAGACCUUCAUUGUGUUCAUGAUUCUCCUGAGUAGUGGUGCCCUGGCCUUUGAGGAUAUAUAUAUUGAUCAGCGAAAGACGAUCAAAACCAUGCUGGAGUAUGCUGACAAAGUCUUCACUUACAUUUUCAUCCUGGAGAUGCUCCUCAAAUGGGUGGCCUAUGGCUAUCAAACAUACUUCACCAAUGCCUGGUGUUGGCUAGACUUCUUAAUUGUUGAUGUUUCAUUGGUCAGUUUAACAGCAAAUGCCUUGGGUUACUCUGAACUCGGGGCCAUCAAAUCCCUAAGGACACUAAGAGCUCUGAGACCCCUAAGAGCCUUAUCACGAUUUGAAGGGAUGAGGGAUAAUCUUGCUCCAACUUGGAUGGGGUGGAGCGGUGGUUCCUCCCCUCAGCCCUUUAUUAUGGGUGGUUGUGAAUGCCCUGUUAGGAGCAAUUCCAUCCAUCAUGAAUGUGCUUCUGGUUUGCCUUAUAUUCUGGCUAAUUUUCAGCAUCAUGGGCGUAAAUUUGUUUGCUGGCAAAUUCUACCACUGUGUUAACACCACAACUGGUGACAUAUUUGAGAUCAGCGAAGUCAAUAAUCAUUCUGAUUGCCUAAAACUAAUAGAAAGAAAUGAGACCGCCCGGUGGAAAAAUGUGAAAGUAAACUUUGAUAAUGUAGGAUUUGGGUAUCUUUCUUUGCUUCAAGUUGCCACAUUUAAGGGCUGGAUGGAUAUCAUGUAUGCUGCAGUUGAUUCCAGAAAUGUUGAACUACAGCCUAAGUAUGAGGAAAGCCUGUACAUGUAUUUGUACUUCGUCAUCUUCAUCAUCUUCGGGUCCUUCUUUACCCUGAACCUGUUUAUUGGUGUCAUUAUCGACAAUUUCAACCAGCAAAAGAAGAAGUUUGGAGGUCAAGACAUCUUUAUGACAGAAGAACAGAAGAAAUACUAUAAUGCAAUGAAGAAAUUAGGAUCAAAAAAGCCACAAAAGCCUAUCCCUCGACCUGGAAACAAAUUUCAAGGAAUGGUUUUUGACUUUGUAACCAGACAAGUGUUUGAUAUCAGCAUCAUGAUCCUCAUCUGUCUGAACAUGGUGACCAUGAUGGUGGAAACGGAUGACCAGAGCGAUUAUGUGACAAGCAUUUUGUCACGCAUCAACCUGGUGUUCAUCGUCCUGUUCACCGGCGAGUGUGUGCUCAAGCUCAUCUCGCUCCGCCAUUAUUAUUUCACCAUUGGAUGGAACAUUUUCGAUUUUGUGGUGGUCAUCCUCUCCAUUGUAGGGAUGUUUCUUGCGGAGCUAAUAGAAAAGUAUUUUGUGUCUCCUACCCUGUUCCGAGUCAUCCGCCUGGCCAGGAUUGGACGAAUCCUACGCCUGAUCAAAGGUGCCAAGGGGAUCCGCACGCUGCUCUUUGCUCUGAUGAUGUCCCUUCCUGCGCUGUUUAACAUCGGCCUCCUGCUUUUUCUCGUCAUGUUCAUCUACGCCAUCUUUGGGAUGUCCAACUUUGCCUAUGUUAAGAGGGAAGUUGGGAUUGAUGACAUGUUCAACUUUGAGACCUUCGGCAACAGCAUGAUCUGCCUGUUCCAAAUCACCACCUCUGCGGGCUGGGAUGGACUGCUGGCCCCCAUCCUCAACAGCAAACCCCCUGACUGUGACCCUAAUAAAGUUAACCCUGGAAGCUCGGUGAAGGGAGACUGUGGGAACCCAUCUGUGGGGAUUUUCUUUUUUGUCAGCUACAUCAUCAUAUCCUUCCUGGUUGUGGUGAACAUGUACAUUGCUGUCAUCCUGGAGAACUUCAGCGUUGCCACAGAAGAAAGUGCAGAGCCUCUGAGUGAGGACGACUUUGAGAUGUUCUACGAGGUCUGGGAGAAGUUCGACCCUGACGCCACCCAGUUCAUGGAAUUUGAAAAAUUAUCUCAGUUUGCAGCUGCUCUAGAACCCCCUCUCAAUUUGCCACAACCAAACAAACUUCAGCUCAUUGCCAUGGACCUGCCCAUGGUGAGUGGAGACCGCAUCCACUGCCUGGACAUCUUAUUUGCUUUUACAAAGCGGGUGUUGGGUGAGAGUGGAGAGAUGGAUGCUCUUCGAAUCCAGAUGGAAGAGCGGUUCAUGGCUUCCAACCCCUCCAAGGUCUCUUAUCAGCCCAUCACUACUACAUUAAAACGCAAACAAGAGGAGGUGUCAGCUGUUAUCAUUCAGCGAGCUUAUAGGCGCCACCUUUUGAAGCGAACAGUAAAACAAGCUUCAUUCACAUACAAUAAGAACAAACUCAAAGGUGGGGCUAAUCUUCUUGUAAAAGAAGACAUGCUCAUUGACAGAAUAAACGAAAACUCUAUUACGGAGAAAACUGACCUGACAAUGUCCACAGCAGCUUGUCCGCCCUCCUACGAUCGGGUGACAAAGCCAAUCGUGGAGAAACACGAGCAGGAAGGGAAGGAUGAAAAAGCCAAAGGGAAAUGAACAAAAACAACAAAAAAAAAUAAUAAAUUGGGUGACAAAUUGUUUACAGCCUGUGAAGUCAAAAGGACUCCUUUAAGAAGUCAAUGCCAAACUGACUGUUUUUACACAAAUUCACUUUAAGGUCAGUGCCUCAAUAAGACAGUGACCCCCUUGUCGGCAAACUCUGUGACUGUGUAAAGGGGAGAUAACCUUGACAGGAGGGUACUGUUCUAACUACCAGCUGACACUGCUGAAGACAAGAGACAAAUGGCUAUGCAGACUGUAGGGAUCAGUCUAAAGGGGUGCAGAGCUAUAAUUUGGGGGUUAAUGUGAAACACUUUAGUGUAGUAACUCUAUCCACCGUUUGCAUUUCAACUGCCACAUUUGUCAGGUUUUUUACAAACUCUGUUAGUGGAUUCAUCUUUUUUUUAAUCCAUGUGUUGUUUGUUACAUGUGACUAUUUUUGUAAGCAGGGUUUCUGUUGGGAAAUAGACUAAAGGAACUCUUUUCCCGGUGUGUCACCUGGGAGUGUUGACAUCCUUAUGGCCCUCCCGUCUGCACAACGGUGUGGUUUCGCAUGAGGGCAUGUUGCACCUUAGGAUCAUGCAUGAGAAAAAGUCGAAAGGAAAGCAAAGACAGUUCUUCAACAGUUCUAUGUCAUCUGUGUUUCUGCGGGGGGAGGGGGCGGUACGGAGGUGAUCGCUAGAUCGUGGGCUUUGCUGAGCUGGGUUUGUCAAAAUCUAGUCCUUAGUCCAAGGAGAUUGUUCAGACAGGUCAUCAAGUCUUAGGAGGUGCAAACUUCAUUCAAAUGUCUGGAGUCACGCUACAUUUCUGUUCACUGUCUCUGAAAGGUCUCUAAAUUAUGACUCUGACUCCCUACCCCCAACCCUAGCAGAGCGAAUUGACCAAAAGAACCCUUUAUAAAUCCCCGCUUCCUCCUGCACUUUGUUUAGCCAUCUUCAGCUCUCAGCAAGGUUGACACUGUAUGUGUUAAUGAAAUGCUAUUUAUUAUGUAAAUAGUCAUUUUACUCUGUGGUGCACGUUUGAGCAAACAAAUAAUGACGUAAGCACAGUAUUUAUUGCAUCAAAUAUGUACCACGAGAAAUGUAGAGUGCAAGCUGUCCACCGGAAAUAUACUGUACUCUGUACCAUUGUAGAUAGUGUGGAUGCUGCCAAUGCAUGUCGAUAUUACCACGUUGCGGUAUCUAGUUUCUCUCAGCACUCAGAAUCUCACUCACGAGAAACCAUAGGUCAGUGGCUAAGUCAAGGAAACUGUUCAGCAGACUUCAUUUCUUUAAGUCAUUAAGCAAUAGUUUGCAGCACUUUAACAAUGUUUGGGUUGUUUUUAAAAUUUAAGUGGAUAACGUUCAAUGUAUAGCCAGACUGUACAUACGUGUUCAAAAGACAACACUACUGCUUAACCUGUUAAAAACAUGUUUAGAGUUUUAUAAGCAAAUAUAAAUACUGUACAAAGUCACUUUCUUUUACUUUUCAGCAUUAUGUACAUAUGAAGAGGAAAUUAUCUUCAGGUUGAUAUCACAAUCACUUUUCUUACUUUCUGUCCACAGCAGUUUUUCAUGGAAGAUAUUUGCUAACUAAGAAAUGAAACUAUGACUGGGUAGUGGUAGAUCUCUGCUUUUUUAUUACAAUUGUUAAUUUUGGAUUAUUUCAUAAUUUUAAGGGGCAAAAUACACUCACAACUUCACAUCCAAAUUAUGAUUUGCAAUUGGAAAAGGUAUAACAUUUGAUUUAUAUUUAUUGUAGUGUUUGUGCUAACAGAUGACCAGAGUGCUUUUUUUUCUCAUUUUUUUCUUUAUUUCCCCAAUUUCUGUUUAUUUUUCUUUGCUUUGAAAUCAUGCUUCUUUAGAUUGUUCUAAAUAUAAAUGUGGGCUUCAGAAUUUCUUUUCCUCAAAAUCAGAGAGGAUUACACUUAUAUAGUCAAUUACAUCAAGAUAUUUGUGUUUCUUACAGAAGCAGACCGUAGGCACCUCUUUUUCUUAAAAAAAAAAUAUUUAGGCAAACCGUAUUCAUGAACUGCAUGUUGGAAAAUGCUACUAUUAGCCCAAAAUGAUGCUAAUCACAAUUAAAAAAUGUGCAAAUCUAAUAAAAUUAAUUUUUUAUUUUA
This is an RNA transcript of Mus musculus (house mouse), 8567 nucleotides long. It is a transcript of the gene named sodium channel, voltage-gated, type I, alpha, with no coding region annotated. The transcript has 28 exons. Lineage: Eukaryota; Metazoa; Chordata; Mammalia; Rodentia; Muridae. The record is from RefSeq and is marked validated.